This 541-nucleotide transfer RNA is filed under the name uncultured cyanobacterium. RNAcentral describes it as "partial 16S-23S ribosomal RNA intergenic spacer". The stretch from base 212 to 284 matches the Rfam family "tRNA". Lineage: Bacteria; Bacillati; Cyanobacteriota. The record is from RNAcentral.
CAGGGAGACAACAAAAUGUUUAAUAUUAUUAUUUUGUCACCUUAGGUCGAUCGGUAUCUCACGUUUUUAAUUUAUUAAGAAUUUCAUUUCCUAAGUUUUUCUAGGUCACACCCAUUAUUUUUCCUGGGCCAUUAGCUCAGGUGGUUAGAGCGCACCCCUGAUAAGGGUGAGGUCCCUGGUUCAAGUCCAGGAUGGCCCAUAUCUCUAUGUUGGGGGUAUAGCUCAGUUGGUAGAGCGCCUGCUUUGCAAGCAGGAUGUCAGCGGUUCGAGUCCGCUUACCUCCACUGAUCACCACCUCUUCCAUAACUGGUAGAAAGGAAAUGUUUUGAGUUGUGAUCAAAUUCUGAAAGAAUCUAGCUUCCUAAUGAAAUCAUUAAGAUGCUGGACUCAUUGAAUUAAUUUCAUUGUUUUCAGAGAACCUUGACAACUGCAUAGAUUAUUUUUAAAGACAAUAAGCAUCUUUAAUGAUGCAGAUUUAUUAUUUGUGCAAAUGCAUUAAUAACAAUUCUAUUAAGCUGAUGCUUCAAUAUUUGAAGUUAUU